This 7078-nucleotide long non-coding RNA is filed under the name Gallus gallus (chicken). RNAcentral describes it as "lncRNA (ENSGALG00010029100.1)". Lineage: Eukaryota; Metazoa; Chordata; Aves; Galliformes; Phasianidae. The record is from RNAcentral.
GUGAGUAAUGUCGUAUAAUUGAGUAAAUCCAAUGAUUCCGUUGGGAUUUUUUUUUCCCCUUAGUUUUUGGCUAAGUUCCCAUUAGAUGUAGUUGCUAAACUUCAUUUUUAUUCUUUCCUAAACCAACAUUUUUAACUUAGCAGAGUGCUCGCCUGUAAUCUAGGAAGAGCUGGAUGGUCAUCUGACACUUUUUCUCAUUCCCAGAUACUAGAGACAAAAAGGCAGCCUAUACAUAUACAUAUACAUAUAUAUACAUAUAAACAAUGUAAAAAUAAAAUAAAAAUUCUUAGUCAGUGAGACCUAAGACACUUCUGAACAUGAGAUGUAGGCUCUUCAGAUCUGUGAGUGCUUAUGAAUGUUUUGUUUCUUCCUUUCUCAUAAGGUGAAGGGUUGUGAGUAGUGCAGGGAGCUGAAACGAUCUGUUCCUUCCAGAAUAUAAGGGGAAAAUGCUUACUGGAAGAUUCUCUUAAAGUUACAUUUGGAAUUGUGAAAUUAAGAGUCCCUGUCCAGAGAGACGUAUCUACCUGUCCAGAUGUGCUACUGCCACUUCCAGAUGUGGAUAUCCAUCUCCUCCAGCCUGAGGAGUUCACAGCUCAAGAUGGGAUCUGGAAUAUACAAAAGACUUGUUCAGAAACAUGUAUUGGCAUGUGCCAGAGUGGUUCUUCACUAUCUGCAGUGCCCGCAGGAUACUGAGAUUUCUCUGAUGCAUUCGUACCUGCAGAUCUUCCAGCCCUUUCGUUAGGGAUACUCAAUCACUAGUUCUGCAGGACAGAAUUAGGGCCAAUCCAUUCUGUGCUGAGGCUGUGGGAGCCUUCAGCCAAGCUCAGUACGGCUAGAAUGGUUUCACAGAAAAUGUCUGAAAAACAUUAGAUUUACUUGAAACAAUCUGAUCGUUAAUCAAUACCUGUUGUAGAUGGUUUAAUGUUUGCAUUUGAGGCUCUUCUACUACAUACAAUCUUGUGGAAUGAAAGCUCUGAACAGAAGUUGUUGGACAAACUGACCACUCACAGAAGGUAUUCCUAGGUAGAACAAUCAAUCACUAACAGACACUUUCAGACUGAAAUACUGCAAUAUUAAUACUGGGAGGUACUCUGGAAUAGCUGUGCCAGCUAUGUUUUAGUGUAGAAGGACCCAAAAUAAUAAACAGAGGAAGUAGCUAUUUGCCUUUGCUUUCUGCUCUGUCCAGAGAAAGACUAAUUUCCUUGUAGCUAGGGCAGAAGGUCCAGUACUGGAUAGAGUCCUUAUAAAUAGACACUGUAGAUCUGGAUCAAAAGUACUCAAAUCAUAGAAUGGCUUGGGUUGGAAGGGAACCUCAAAGAUCGUCUAGUUCCAACCCCCUGCUGUGGGCAGGGUUGCCAACCAUUAAAUGUGUGUGAAAGCUGAAUCAAAGGUUUAGGAUAUCUAAGCAGUAGGGAUGCAGCAAUGUUGAGGAGUCACAAAACUAUACUUUCUUCUUCUGUAGGUUUUCCUUCAGAGAGCUUCAGAUAAUCAUCUCUCACUUUUCCACUCGCGGGGAAGUUAAGAAGCACACCCCUUUUCCACAAACAGAAUCCAUAAACAUUUGCUUUCCAGUACUUUAUGGCCAAUUCUCUAAACUCGUAUUUAUCACCCCCUUACUCCUAUGAAGGAAAAUUCUUGCUGAGUCCUAAACCAAGUUGAGUUCUUCCAGAUUUGGGCCCUCAGGAAGAGCCAUAAAGACCACAGUUUUACGCAGUGUAUUCCAUCCAUUGUCUUGCUACCCAGGGGCAGCAGCUUUUGUGGGAAUCACGAAGGACUUCCCUUGUUACGGAGAGCGCUAUCGAUACGUGAACUCUCAGGGGAAGUAACCUCUGUUUCUAUGCAGGAAAUAUCAGAUUAAAACAAAUACACUGAAUAUUGCUCAGUGAAGAGUGAGUAUGAUAUUUACAAUCCUGCUGCCUCCAGUUGGCGUUACUCAGACAUCCGCAGCACGUCUUGAGCUUUCUGUGGGAGUGCAGUGACAGAAGAGGUGAAACAAAAAGGAGGAGAAUGCGUAGAGAUGUCAUACACAGUUUUUGCUAUAACAAUGCAUUGUACACAUUAUUCUUUUCAUCUGAGAAUGUCAAAGCUCGUAAAAGAAUCUAGCUAAAUAUAAAAACUCUGUGAGAAAAGUAAUUCUUGUAUUGAUUAACUACAUGCCAGAGUUAUCCAGUUAUCCCUCAUUAGAGCCAGAGACAGAAUGUAGGAAUAGAGCUAGGCUUCAGCUUCAGCUACAUAAAAUGCUGCUCGAGUUGCCAACAAUGAAGAUCUGCAAGUGGAAUUUGGUUAAUUGUGUCAGUCUGUAGGAACGCUUAUUAUUUGUGGGUAUUACAAUGGCUCUGAGAGUCCUGAGAGUCCUGUAACUGCCAUCCCUUUGCGCAAGGUGCUGUCUGAACACAAAGCAAAGAGGUGGCUCUGGCUUGGAAGGAUCUGAAGUCUUUGAGGACGUUGUUUGACUCAUUUUUCUGCUAGAAGGUCCUGCUUAUACAUUCCCCCCCCCUCCCCACAUUCCUCCUCUCUUCCCCAUCGUGCUGGCCUUGGAUUGUGCCAGUGCUGGUUUUUUUGUGCAGCCUCGUGUUAAACUGAAUCGGGAACCUGAUUUCAAUUAAAAAAUAGUCCUCAGAAAAACACUUAUUUUUAACUGAGACUAAUACUCUGAUCUGUUCCCUGCUGCAGAUGCACAAAGAAUGCCACAAGAGACAAGGUCGCGUAACGGCAGGUAUGAAUGGGGAAAGGGUGAGAACAGGUUGCAUCGAUCUCACUGACACAGGAGAUGUGUUUGUCAGUGUGCCCUUACUGUGGCAAGGCUGCGGUUCAGCUGGUGUGAAAAAACCACACUGUUGUUAGUUUUGUUUAAAUUAACACAAGCAAGUGGGAUAUCGACGUACAAAAUAAGAGAACUUCGGGUGAUGCAGAAGAAGCUUUCAGAGUAGAAUUCGACAUCAUUGCCAAAAAGUCAUCCUUCCCCUUUUGGAUUCAAAAGUAAUGACUCUCAAAAACACACAGAGGAAAUAACCUUUAAACUCUGUGUUUGCUUUUGCAGUGGCACGACUGGAAAAUAAUUUCAUCUGCCUUUACAAAGAAAGCUGAGGAGGGUGUAAAACAAAGUAGAGACCGUUUCCCUCCCACCACAGCCGUACGUCUAUUAUCUGACUCACCACUUCUGGGAUUCCUUCUGGCAGUGCUGGUUUUAUUGCAAUGAAAACUCAAGCGUGUGAAAAAUAUUCCCUAUUUUCUGAGGACUGUUCUAUUCUCUGUUCACUGUUUCGUUCAGGUCAGUAUUCCUUCCUUUAAAGGUUUGGAACUAAAGAUUCAGAAAGUGCUGUUCUUAAGCCUUGUGAGAAGGACUGGCACAGUGGAAAGGAAGGGGGAAGGGAGAAAUGAAAGGGGAGGAGAGUCCAUAUCUGAAGAGAGACUCCAGACUAGAGAAAUUUUACUGACAUCCAUUCAGUAUCCAGCAGGGUCUCCUUCAAGGGCUUUUACUGAGAUCCAAAGACUCUUGCAAUUCACAGAGGCAUUUACAUGCAACGUUGCCCUCUGGGAGCUAAGGUAUAACUGUACUCCUGGAUAAUAAUAACAAAGAAUACUACCAGAUUCCCAUUGAAAUGUCAACCAGGCACUACUGUUCUAGAGAGCAACAAAGAGAUGCUAAUAUAAUUAAUUAUGAAGCCUCAGUACCCUCAUUAACACUUCUUUAGUGCCCAGAUCUUUGAAAAUCAGCUGUAUAAAGUGACUGUCAGAGUUAAUUCCUUAUAAAUUGCCUCCUGUCACUGCAGCAAGUUCUCCCAGGCCGUGGUGAUGCUGAGAAAUCUGUUGUGUGGGAUUCUUUUUUUUUUCUUCUUCUUCUUUUUUUUUUUUUUUUUGUUAGUACUGAUGCAGUCGUAUUGGUUAUUAAAAGUUUAACAUAUAAAGGUUGAAUGAGCAGGAGUUUGUCAGGAUAGGAUAGAGCAAAAUCAAAAAGCCUUUAGAUAACCCAGCUUCCAUAGACUGGUAACACAAAUAGGGAAAGUUUGAAUUGCUUAAAUGGAAAACUAAGGAAAAACAGGAACGAAAGGUGUGACAUUUGGCAUUAAGAUGUUUCCGGACCUUUUUCAAUGUGAGGAUGGCAGCCAGUUUAUAGCCUUCUCUCCUCCUACUGCCUUUACGACAGCAUUUCAGCUCCAGGCCUCAUUCCGAUGCAUCCUCCCUCCCCACCACUCCCGCUUACAAAUAUAUAUUUCAAUAGGCUUAGGCUGCACGGAGUUCCAAACCCAGCAUGUAAUGGGUACAAUUGUUUUCACGCUUUUCCACAGAGAGCCACAUUCAUGCCUUUUGGGGCUCUGCUUUGUCAUGUUCUUGCUCUUUUUUUUCUUUAAGUUAGACCGGGAUCAGAACCCUACACAAACACUAACAAAAAAGCUCAACAAACCACCUACGUUUGCAGUUCAUUCCGUUACAUCCCCCUACCAUUCCGUCUCCUAAAGGAUAUAAAGAAGCAAUCUGUUAGAGAAGAAACCUGGUCAUUAGAGAUCACUUUGCAUUUUUUGCAGCAGUAGAAACACUGAAUGGUGACGUAGCAAACUGUACACAACAGCCUGCUCAAUCUUCUGUGUACUUCUGUACUUUUGAGGAGAUUUUCUGCAGUGUAAAAUUGCAUGGGGUUAUCUGUGUUUGUACAGUGUGCUCCAAGACCCUUUGGGCUCCUUGCUAUGUGUAGGAUAACAGACUGAUCUUAAUGGGAUAUUCUUAUUCACCAUUUCAGAAGUGGCUGUAGCACCAGGUGUAAGAUGAUUUUGCUGUUCCAGCUAAACUGACAACAUGCAAACUCUUUAAACGGAGGUAAAGUUUAUAUUAACAAAAGUAGUCCUUACAAAUGGGGCUGUCCUUCCUACUGUAUUUGCUGGCAUUAUUAGGAAAAUGGUUUUAUUCUCCACUCUUAGAUCACAUAUCAACGUCUCAGUAAAGCUAUGAUGUAUUGAUCACUCAGUGUUUAUAUAAUUCAUAUUUAAUAAACAGAAGUGCAAAGGAUGCUCCAAAAGUAAUGCAUCCUAUUUUAUGAUGUUGGCCCACAAUGUCAGAGGCAGAUGGUGGUGGUAUGGCAGUAGAGGCUGAACCUUCUUGCUCAUUGCUGGCAAAAAUACACAGCUAAUGGUGGUGACUGUGUAGAAAGAUGGCGUUUUGUAACUGAGAAUUUGCUUUAUCAACUCGUGUUAUUGUACUCUUUGCAUCUGUUGUAGUUUCCAUGGAAAUAAAUAGGAGGCAUUACUUUCAGAGCAACCUAUGCUUGAAAUUAAAUAUCUAGCUUUCUGAAGAGCAGUCAAGAACUAUCACACAAAUUGUGCUUGCUUUACAUAAAUAUAAAUUCGAUAGAACUUCGUAGAAUGUAACUAUUUCAGAAUGGCCUUUUAGAAACAGCUUAUCUGCAAGAGAUGCUACUUGGACGAAUAGUACCUAUUUGCAGUGCUUUUUGAGAUAUUCAGGUGCUUCACACAUACCAACUCAAAUUUGAACAGCUGUUUGAGAUGCUAUAAACAUAGUAUGAGUUGGUAAAUUGAUACACAGAUCGGAUAAAUAAUAUUUAGUCACAUACAAUGAAUACGGAAUUAAUUUAAUGGAUCUCAGUGUUUUCUUCCAUGCUGUCAGCACUGCAGCGGGUCAGCUACCUUUUAAGGGUGGGAUGCCAGAUUGUACAUUUAUUUCUGAGAUUAGAUGGUGGGCAUGCUGAUAUAAGCUCAGCAGGAAUGAGGGGAUGCUGUGUCUAAAAAGAGAGAGCUGCUGCCAAUCAUAUUGCUGACAGUAUCUUGUCUGUGUCCAAAGCAGAGGCUCCCAGCUGCCACCACACUUGCAGCACCACGACAGCCAGAAAUUGGGAUCCCAAGCCUUUCGAUAUGCCAUGGCUCCUGGCCCUGUGCCAGCUCUUCCUUGCCGUUCAGAAUCCGCCUGCAUGGAGUCUUCACACUCCUGUGGUGGCAGCUUGCUGCCACCUGCAACAAAGCAAGCUUUCCCUAUGCUCCUUCCACAAAGCGCUGUGGGACCACAUCAGAACACCUCCGUGUCUGACACUGCCAGGACAGAAAGGAAAAGCACGAUAAGACUCACUGAAAUACGGUUCCACAUUACAGCUCCGGCAAAUCAGAGACUGCAAUAAAGCAGAGCCAAACCGCACUCUGUGUAGGAGAGUCACCUCCUGGGCUGUUUGCUUACGUCUCAUCUUCAAAGCAGCACAGAUGUGCGGCAGGAGCUUUGAUAUCAGAGAGCACGCGGAUGUACUUUUGGUGUUUCGUGUGUUCUCAUUUCACUUCGUUAUCUCAAAAACAACAAAAACCCCACAAAACACCACCGCCGCCGCCACAAAACCCCACCAACUUUCCUGCUCGCACUCGCUGUGUCGGGGCCUGAAGUCUCACGGGCUGCUCCAUGCCUUCAAUGGGACACAGACCUGCAUAAACUCACAGCUGUAAUAUUUGGCCUUCCAGCACAAACUCGGCACUUCUCGUCACAGCGCUCAGCAUUCAGCGGGCACUGAAGGCGAUCUAUUUACGGACGACAAACCCUCGUUUGAAGCCCUGACAUCCUCGCAGGAGGCGCGCGGUGCUGCCGGGCGUCCCACAGCAGCAGUCGGCACAGCGCACAGCCCCGCUGCCCGCAACGGCACGUAGGAAAAGGCUUAACAACGUAAAACGAGCACUGCUUGCACAGCGUGGGCGAAUAUUUAUUUCAUCGGUUAAGGAACGCGUUUCUCGCUGCCGCAUCUCCACACGGGACAAAGCGCUGUUCCGGCGGCACGCAGCCGCUUCCCGCUCCGCUCCCGCGCGGCCGGGCUCCCUCAGCUACACGGUUGACUCGCGCGCUGCCAUUACCGCGGCUCCCUGACAAGAGCACCCACAGCGAGGAAGGGAGCCGGGCACCAGGCCUGGCACGAGCACCGCGCUUCUCCCCCGGCACCGCUCCCGCCGCCAUCUUAACUCCUGGCGCCCGCCCCCGGCGGCGCGGCGGGGCUCAGCGCGAGAGUGGCAACUGGGGAAGGAGAAACCCCCGCUGCAAACGCCUCGCCGACCCCGCUCCGCCGCAGUCCGCCCGCAGAACGCAGCCGAAGCGCCAG